This 250-nucleotide ribosomal RNA is filed under the name uncultured bacterium. Its description in RNAcentral is "partial 16S ribosomal RNA". It matches the Rfam family "Bacterial small subunit ribosomal RNA", at positions 524 to 773 of the family's 1533-position model. The record is from RNAcentral.
GACGAACCGUACGAACGUUAUUCGGAAUUACUGGGCGUAAAGCGUGCGCAGGCGGUUAUGCAAGACAGAUGUGAAAUCCCCGGGCUCAACCUGGGAACUGCAUUUGUGACUGCAUAGCUGGAGUGCGGCAGAGGGGGAUGGAAUUCCGCGUGUAGCAGUGAAAUGCGUAGAUAUGCGGAGGAACACCGAUGGCGAAGGCAAUCCCCUGGGCCUGCACUGACGCUCAUGCACGAAAGCGUGGGGAGCAAAC